Molecule: ribosomal RNA, 483 nt
Filed under: uncultured bacterium
Lineage: Bacteria
Description: partial 16S ribosomal RNA
Rfam family: Bacterial small subunit ribosomal RNA
Source: RNAcentral
GACGAACGCUGGCGGCGUGCUUAACACAUGCAAGUCGAACGAUGAAGCGGGUGCUUGCACUCGUGGAUUAGUGGCGAACGGGCGAGUAACACGUGAGUAACCUGUCCUUUUCUUUGGGAUAACGGCUGGAAACGGCUGCUAAUACUGGAUAUUCAGGCUGCAUCGCAUGGUGUGGUUUGGAAAGGUUUUUUCUGGGAUUGGGUGGGCUCGCGGCCUAUCAGCUUGUUGGUGGGGUGAUGGCUUACCAAGGCUUUGACGGGUAGCCGGCCUGAGAGGGUGGGCGGUCGCACUGGGACUGAGAUACGGCCCAGACUCCUACGGGAGGCAGCAGUGGGGAAUAUUGCACAAUGGACGAAAGUGUGAUGCAGCGACGCCGCGUGGAGGGUGUAGGCCUUCGGGUUGUGAACUCCUUUUUCUCGCGAAAAAGGCACAGUUUUGGCUGUGUUGAUGGUAGUGGGGGAAGAAGCGCCGGCUAACUACGUG